GUGGCUGCAGCUCAGUUGGUAGAGCCCCGGAUUGUGAUUCCGGUUGUCGUGGGUUCGAACCCCAUCAGUCACCCCA
Molecule: transfer RNA, 76 nt
Filed under: Nitrosomonadales bacterium
Lineage: Bacteria; Pseudomonadati; Pseudomonadota; Betaproteobacteria; Nitrosomonadales
Description: tRNA-His
Rfam family: tRNA
About the family: Transfer RNA (tRNA) molecules are approximately 80 nucleotides in length.
Source: RNAcentral